This 3819-nucleotide long non-coding RNA is filed under the name Triticum aestivum (bread wheat). RNAcentral's name for it is "long non-coding RNA (TAES_LNC015469)". The stretch from base 1312 to 1398 matches the Rfam family "MIR1120/MIR1122 microRNA precursor family". Lineage: Eukaryota; Viridiplantae; Streptophyta; Magnoliopsida; Poales; Poaceae. The record is from RNAcentral.
ACAGGCUCUUCACCGACGAGAAGCUCGCAAAAAGGGAGAUGGAAAGGUUAGUGCAGAAACAAGGCAUGGAGCGGAUUGAGGGAUGGCCGUUGGUUGUGAUCCGUGGUUUGUUCUUCUUUUCAGUUCUUUGCUCCCAGAUUUCUUGCGGGUUUGCAACAGCAGGUUUCUAUUACUCCAAGCAGAUAGAGUCGCGCUGUGCUCUCGGUCCGCUUGAUAUCUUUGCUUUCGUGUUGAUUGGAGUCGUUUCACUGCCGUACCAUUUGUUCCUUUUCUGGGUUUCUCUGCGCGGGAACUAAUGAUGUCGAUGAUGAGUUUCAAAGCGGUUGGUUUGUUAGGCUAGGUCUUCAAAGCUGAUGUCCCCGUGGCAAGAUCAGCAUUUGUAGUAGUUUAAGAAGAUUCCGUCUGUGCUAGUACGUAGUAGUAGUUAAUUUGUAGUACCAGUUCAUUUGUAUCCCUUGUUGUAAUAGGUCUUCAAAGCUGAUGUCCCCAUGGGCAAGAUCAGCAUUAGUUUAAGCGGAAUCUGUGUGUGCUACUAGUUAAUUUGUACCGGUUGAAACUCAUACUAUGUAAUCUUCCUUGUAUGAUAUAUCGUGUAUGGAGCAACUAUUUACUUCACUGUUUCAAAUUAAUUAUUUACUUAUGUAUGCUGUGCGACGGCGCAAGCACCCUGCUAAUGUCGGAAAAGAUAUCCCUAUGUGUUAUUUUUCUUAAACUGACGAUAUGGCAGAGAGAACCUACCCAGGUGGGAGGUGUAUUUAAUUCCUUUUCUGUAUUUAGAAACCGAGAGCGAUGCACGUUGGAAGUGUUUCCUUUUCUGUAUUUAAUUCGAGAGCACCAACAUACUCUGUUCUCUGUUCUGUAGUAGGAAAAUCGGAUUCUUGUUUGCUUAUGUUAGGUGUGAUGGAAUACUAUACUCUGGAACUGGAAAGGUUAAAUUAGCAAGCGAAGAGAGAACGCCUAGAAUUUCUGCUAUCAUCGCAUCGUACUAGCGAAAAAUCUCUAAUGCUAAUUUUGUUAAAGACAUGUAGUGGGGAAUGAAGGGAAGAGGUUGACCAUAGUGCUAGUGCGACGGUUCAUUGUGGCAGUGUGAAGAAUAGAAAAUAUCGUUUGGAUGAUAUUUUCUGAAAGAAAAAUAAUAUCAUUUGGAAAUGGCAAUUGUGCACAUCUGUAACAUCACAUAAUUUACAAAGUUAACCAUUACUGUGAACAGCUUCCAAGAUUUCAGGAGAAAUGCUCAUGAGAGAACAGGAAAAUAUAGUAACUGAUGAGAGAACACAAGAAUUUACUUAUACUUCAUUAGUCCCUUGUCAAAUAUUCCCUCUGUAAACUAAUAUAAGAGUGUUUAGAUAACUAAAAUAGUGAUCUAAACACUCUUAUAUUAGUUUACGGAGGGAGUAAAUCAUAAGCAUGGGACUUUGAAAUUUUGGCUGUGCCAUUUCCAUCAAAAAACAAAGGGCCUUGAAGAAAAAAAAUUACACAUUUAGCUUGACCUGUGCAUGUUGAGUAGCAACAAACUAAUACUGUUCGGCACCCAUGUAAGAUGUUUGGUAGCACUAAAGAUAAAACAUUGCAAUUCCUAGAGGGGAGGUCGUAGAAGUGUUGUAAACAUCCGCGACUGAACUCUGCUGUCCAUCUUCCUGAGAAUGAUGCAGUCGUAGUAGAUGUACAUGGGGUUCUUGGUCACGGGUUAGCUGAACAUCAUGUUGAUGUCCUCGCAGAACCCGAACAACCACACCACCUCUGCAAAGACCCCUGGAAACAACACACUGGAAGGAAAAGAAUUAGGGACCUAGAGGAAGAGGUGCAAGGAAGCAGGCAGGCAAUCUGCCGGCACAAGAAUAGUGAUCCAAGAACACAUGUGGAACAAGCAGACAGGUAAUGAGGCUAUUGUUUAGUGUCACGGUUCAAGCAGAUGAUACUUAGAAUUCAGACAACUUUUUAGUUUUUACUGGUAACUAAAAACAAAUUCGAUGUCCAUUUGAAAAAUAAUGAUAAUAAGAGAUACAGUAAACACUUUGGUGGGGAGGGGGGCUGCCAGAUUUUAAUUUCGAACCAAACGUAAUAUAGUAUUAUUUUCUAUGCAACUACAAUAAUUCUGUUAAUCGUUGGACACUCAAACUGAAGCCACAUAAACUACUAUUUCUCAAGGGAAAGUUGUUAUAAGAACUUGUUAUCACACAUGGAAAUAUUGGAAGGAACAUUACUUAUGGGAAAACUAACUUUGUAGGUUAAUUGUGGACAAUGAUUUCUGCAAAAAGAAAUAGGGAAGGCAGAUUGUACGCCAAGAACUCACUUAUAUAUCAUAUCUGGAUCAAUGCAUGAACAUCUUUGUCUAGAUCCAAGCAAACAUGAAAAAAGAAAACAAAAAUAUUUGUACCGACCAAUCUUAACGUGCAGCACUAUUAUAGAGAACAUAAUAUAUAGUUGUACUGAGCAAUGCCAAAAUAAAUUCUAUUCUAAUAGUCUUCUAAGACAGCAUCCAGACUGCAAAAUAAAACUACCAUAACACCAACACACAAAGUUACAUCAAAAUCAGCUAUACCAGGAAUUAUAGAAAUGCCAACAACAAUGACGAACUGAAGAGGAAAUAAAAAUAACGGAAGGAAUCUAAGAACUCAGGAGGAGGAAAUACUUCACCGGAGAAGUAAAAUGCAUACAUUUAUAUCCUCUCUUUAACAGAUUAACAUUGGAAAGUUUGAAGGGUUCCAGUAGUAGCAAAGUUUGUCCGAAACAGAAUUCUGCAGAACUACGCUAAAAACUGCCCACAUCGAAGGAGCAUGUCUCUAUACCACAAUCUCUGAAUUCAUGCAGCGAGAUACAAUCUAUGAAUUCAUGCUAUGUGUGUGCUCGAGAAGCAAUAUAUCUUGCAAACUGGACAUAGCAUCAAAGAGAUGGUAGUAAUCACAUUCGAACGACAUACAUACCACACAUGACGGGCUUGUCCAGAAGAAAGAAAACCAGGACAGAGCAAAUACAAAAUUAUGACACAACGACUACACUGAAACUUCCAAUUUGUAUUCCAGUUAGACAUUCUUCUCUGCAACACAUCAGAAAAUCAAUUAAUAAAUGAAGUGGGAUAAAAGAGAGGUAAGACUUAAAAUUUUAAUCUUUACUUACUGAAGAAAGCCAAAACAGAGCAACCACUAUAGUGGAACGAAGCCAUCAACAGCAGUGCGUUUUGCAACAUAUGAAAAUAUCAAUUAACAAAGCAAGUAAAGUAAAACAGAUGCAAGCUGCAAGAGAAGAAGAAAAGGCAUUACUUCUGUUUACCAAAUAACAUCUUGCAUACUACGGAGCAUCAGUGAUUAGUUUGUAUACAAUGUUUUCAGUAGAGUCUUUUUACGGUACCCUGGUACUUCCCAAGGCCUAUGUGGAGUACCAACUAAAUCCGGCCGUUAAUAUUGGAGGGCAUUAGAGACAUUUUACAGUUCACGCGGUGGUUUGAUUACCCUAAUCCACUCAAUUUGUGUCUACGGCGCCGCCUCAGCGCCCGAAUCAGCCGCCGCCAUCUCAGUUUCUGAGAUCCCAUCGCCUUUGUUAUAGAUGAAUUUGCCGGCGCUGUUGAAAUCAAAACGAUCUUCUUUGUUGUAAGGUUUGUGUCUAGGGCACAUCUAGAUGUGCCCUAGUUAUUGCACAUCUAAGUGAGUGAAUCAAGCACAAAGAGGAAAAGAAAAAAGAAAAAAAAAAUAUCCACACGAAUCUCGACGUAAGAUCGAUGAUAUAGGACUUAGAUGUGCAAUACUUAUGGCACAUCUAGAUGUGCUUUAGCAAAACUGUUGUUGUAAACGAAUCUGCCGGCAUUACUGAAAUCAAAUGGGC